ACUCAUAAAAUAAAUAACCAAAUCCUAAUAUACUAAUGAAAUCCUUGACCCAAUUGUACUAGGGUAAGGUUACAAAAUUAUAAUCCAAAUAGAAUGAUGAAACACAUAACCUAAUUGCACUAGGUUAAUGUAUUAUGGCAAAAAUCCAGCUUUGUGUCUGUAAGUCCCAAAGUCUUCAGAAAUGCUGUUUUAGCCCGGGAC
This 201-nucleotide long non-coding RNA is filed under the name Capsicum annuum. RNAcentral describes it as "long non-coding RNA (CANN_LNC009999)". Lineage: Eukaryota; Viridiplantae; Streptophyta; Magnoliopsida; Solanales; Solanaceae. The record is from RNAcentral.